This 465-nucleotide ribosomal RNA is filed under the name uncultured bacterium. Its description in RNAcentral is "partial 16S ribosomal RNA". It matches the Rfam family "Bacterial small subunit ribosomal RNA", at positions 339 to 795 of the family's 1533-position model. The record is from RNAcentral.
CUACGGGCUGCAGCAGUGGGGAAUAUUGGACAAUGGGGGAAACCCUGAUCCAGCAAUGCCGCGUGUGUGAAGAAGGCCUGCGGGUUGUAAAGCACUUUCGGUUGGGAGGACUGCUUCUAGCACUAAUAUUGUUGGAAGUUGACGUUACCUUCAGAAGAAGCACCGGCUAACUCCGUGCCAGCAGCCGCGGUAAUCCGGAGGGUGCAAGCGUUAAUCGGAAUUACUGGGCGUAAAGCGCGCGUAGGCGGCUAGAUCAGUCGGGUGUGAAAGCCCCGGGCUUAACCUGGGAACUGCAUCCGAUACUGUCUAGCUCGAGUACAGGAGAGGAGAGUGGAAUUCCACAUGUAGCGGUGAAAUGCGUAGAUAUGUGGAGGAACACCAAUGGCGAAGGCAGCUCUCUGGCCUGAUACUGACGCUGAGGUGCGAAAGCGUGGGGAGCAAACAGGAUUAGAUACCCUAGUAGUC